RNAcentral lists this ribosomal RNA (435 nucleotides) under uncultured bacterium. RNAcentral describes it as "partial 16S ribosomal RNA". It matches the Rfam family "Bacterial small subunit ribosomal RNA", at positions 29 to 507 of the family's 1533-position model. The record is from RNAcentral.
AGCGAACGCUGGCGGCAGGCUUAACACAUGCAAGUCGAGCGGGCACUUUCGGGUGUCAGCGGCGGACGGGUGAGUAACGCGGGGGAACGUGCCCUCUGGUUCGGAAUAACUCAGGGAAACUUGAGCUAAUACCGGAUACGCCCUUUUGGGGAAAGGCUUGCUGCCGGAGGAUCGGCCCGCGUCUGAUUAGCUAGUUGGUGAGGUAACGGCUCACCAAGGCGACGAUCAGUAGCUGGUCUGAGAGGAUGAUCAGCCACACUGGGACUGAGACACGGCCCAGACUCCUACGGGAGGCAGCAGUGGGGAAUAUUGGACAAUGGGCGCAAGCCUGAUCCAGCCAUGCCGCGUGAGUGAUGAAGGCCUUAGGGUUGUAAAGCUCUUUUAUCCGGGACGUUAAUGACGGUACCGGAGGAAUAAGCCCCGGCUAACUUCGUG